UGGGAAGCACAGGCAUUGUUGAUAACUGCCCGGGAGAGUCAAAGAGCAAGAAGAAGAGCGUGUGUGUGUGUGUGUGUCGGGAGCUUCUUCCUUGACUGUGUUAACGUGUGUCUCAACGGAUGGUGAUGCGUCCUGACAACAUAUUUUCCAGGAAUCGGUGACUAUCUGGAAUCAGAGGACCUGAGCCAUAGGACCAUGCCUCGGGACUGACUACCUGGCAUGAUGACUCCUUGCUGUCCCCAGUCCACCUGGCUGUGCUGCUGCUCCAGUUUCAACUGUUCUGCCUGCGGCUAUGGAACCAUGACCUGUUCACCGGACGUGCUACCUGUCCCAGACCUGCUGUGUUCAACUCUCUGGAGACAGCAGGAGCGGUAGAGAUACUUUGAAUGAUCGGCUAUGACAAAACAACUGACAUUUACUCCUGAGGUGCUGACCUGUUGCACCCUCGACAACCACUGUGAUUAUUAUUAUUUGACCCUGCUGGUCAUUUAUGAACAUUUUAACAUCUUGGCCAUGUUCCAUUAUAAUCUCCACCCGGCACAGCCAGAAGAGGACUGGCCACCCCUCAAAGCCUGGUUCCUCUCUACCCAGUACAGCCAGAAGAGGACUGGCCACCCCUCAUAGCCUGGUUCCUCUCUACGUUUCUUCCUAGGUUCUGGCCUUUCUAGGGAGUUUUUCCUACCCACUGGGCUUCUACGCCUGCAUUGCUUGUGGUUUGGGGUUUUAGGCUGGGUUUCUGUACAGCACUCUGUGACAUCAGCUGAUGUAAGAAGGGCUUUAUAAAUACAUUUGAUUUGAUUUGACAGAGUGAUCUCCAGCCUUGUCCUCAACACUCACACAUGUGUUAACGAGAGAAUCACUGACAUGUCAGCUGGUCCUUUUGUGGCAGGACUGAAAUGCAGUGGAAAUGUGUUUUGGGGAUUCAGUUAAUUUGCAUGGCAAAGAGGGACAUUGCAAUUAAUUGCAAUUCAUCUGAUCACUCAUAACAUUCUGGAGUAUAUGCAAAUUGCUAUCAUACAAACUGAGGCAGCAAACUUUGUGAAAAUUAAUAUUUAUGUAAUUCAAAACGUUUGGCCAUGACUGUACACAGAGGGAAAACAUUUCAAGACGUAUUACAGCAGAAAACUAAAAUCUUAUUGGACAAGUCCAGGUAGUCCCUGGGUGUUUCAAAUAUUUUAUUCUGUUUGGUGCCUAACGAACUAGUCACAACCCAGUUUAGAGGGUACACUACACUAUCAGUGUAACACUCAGCCAAGCUACAUUGAAAUAAAUGGACAGCAAGGUUCAUAUGAGCUGUGGUUCCAUUAGCAGUAGAGAUAAAACUGGCAGGGUUUUUGGAUUGAUUGCCAGUUAGGCCAGGUUCAGAAGCAGUUUAACAGGCAUCAACACACUGAGGCUGGAUUCAUGUGCCAGUAUUGGGUUUCUGUAUUUGUGUGAUUAGUACAUAUGGUAUGUUAUACAAUAGAGUUAUACAUGUUGGUCAAGUUAUGUACGCUAUGGCUUUUGUAGUGUCGGCAUGUGCCUUCAUGUUCGACUCAAUUUCUCAACCCGUAAUAAUCUAAACCCCAAAACUUCAUACACAACCUUAAAAAUACUUUUGGACAGCUGAAGCAAGCACACAAUUUUUCCUUCAGGACAAUUACCUUUUCUAGUUUGCAUGUGUCGGCAUUUGCCUUCAUAUUUGUAUGAGAGAAUGUAAGUGAGUCCAAGUAGAGCUCCCGAUACUUGGUACAAUAUGCAGUAACAUCAUUCUAGAACCUUGGCUGCCAGGUUGUGUGUGUCAGCAUUCAUGCUAGUGUGAGUGCCAUGUGGCGCAGUCCAGGUAAAGAGCAUAGUAUGUAGUAAUACAUCAUACCAGAUCCAUAUAUUUUCAUAAGAUGUAAAUAUAUGGCUCUGCAUCACACUGUCUACUGUUGUGUUAUGUAUGUUGUGCAAUUUGUAAUUUUAAAGCUUGUAUGCGUGCGAUGCAUGCCAGUCCGGUCAGUCCAGCCUAAGUAAAGAGCGUGGUGCCAACAGUG
Long non-coding RNA from Oncorhynchus keta (chum salmon), 2018 nucleotides. RefSeq lists it as uncharacterized. The record is from RefSeq and is a predicted model, not a curated record. Lineage: Eukaryota; Metazoa; Chordata; Actinopteri; Salmoniformes; Salmonidae. The transcript is spliced from 2 exons.